GAAUUAACUCGUAGAAGUUUCUUCUCCAAUAAAUGUGCAAAAACUUUUAAACAAUAAAAACAAUCCAAUUGAGCAGAAAACAAAGCCUGCAAAAAUCAAAAGUAGGCUAUCUGUUUCGAAUGUCCAGAACACCAACUUAGUAAUACAACAGAGGCUCUCCAGCUCAAGCAGUUUCUCUUUCAUUAGGAGAGUUGCAUUGCAUUGCAUCGCAGGAACCAACCGCGAAAAAUCUUGCCUAUGAUAAAUGAAAAUCAUAUUGUUUGGCUAGCUCUAAAAUUGAAACAAGUACAUGUACAUGCAAAACAUAUAAAUUAAUAAUCCCCUAUAGACCUCUUUUCAAAUCAACAACGACAACGCUAACAUUAUCCGAACUGUGCCGAGCCAAAGCCAGCCUUGUCAAGAGGAUUGAUGCAUCAGUGCAAGCCUGGUCAGAGUUCUGCCCAGAUCGCAAGCACAUGCGAGCCACACCACAUGCUGUCUCGUUUGACACAACAUCCCAUAGCCCGUCGCUAGCUAAUAUCAAACACUCGUCUUCCACUGUUCUCUCCGUUAUGGUCACCUCCGGUUCAGAUGUAACAUACGGUUUCAAGUAACUGUCACCGAUUGCUCGAGACAUAGCCAAAACUCCAAGAACUCUCGCACCAUCCCAAUAGAUUACACGACCGCCAGCUUCUUCAAUCCGAUUGAGUUCAUCGGGUCGAUCAGGCUUAUGGUCAGUGGACAGAGGAAUUGGGACACCGUUUCUGCAGAGCACAGCGCGAGAAUCGCCGCAGUUGGACACGACGAUUUUGUUUGGAGUUAGGACGGCCACGACAGCAGUGGAUCCAACGGCAUCGCACUGCGGCGUCUGAAGUUCGCAUCUACAAUCCGCAGUUUGUGUACCUCCAGCUCCUUUCGAAUAUUCAACUACUUCUUUGUCCAUUUUUGAGAAGCUCUGAAUCAUCAUCUCUUUCCAUGUAGCUUCUCCUGCGCUCUCAACCUCGUUCUUCACUAUCUCAUGCAUUCUAUCUUUACAUUUCAUCGCCGCAUGAGAGCAGCCGUGGCCGUCGUAG
This 1052-nucleotide unclassified non-coding RNA is filed under the name Hevea brasiliensis (rubber tree). The record is from RNAcentral. Lineage: Eukaryota; Viridiplantae; Streptophyta; Magnoliopsida; Malpighiales; Euphorbiaceae.